UGCAAGUCGAGCGGUAACAUUUCUAGCUUGCUAGAAGAUGACGAGCGGCGGACGGGUGAGUAAUGCUUGGGAACUUGCCUUUGCGAGGGGGAUAACCACUGGAAACGGUGGCUAAUACCGCAUAAUGUCUACGGACCAAAGGGGGCUUAGGCUCUCGCGCAAAGAGAGGCCCAAGUGAGAUUAGCUAGUUGGUGGGGUAAAGGCUCACCAAGGCAACGAUCUCUAGCUGUUCUGAGAGGAAGAUCAGCCACACUGGGACUGAGACACGGCCCAGACUCCUACGGGAGGCAGCAGUGGGGAAUAUUGGACAAUGGGCGCAAGCCUGAUCCAGCCAUGCCGCGUGUGUGAAGAAGGCCUUCGGGUUGUAAAGCACUUUCAGUGGGGAGGAAGGCCAAGUAGUUAAUACCUGCUUGGAUUGACGU
Molecule: ribosomal RNA, 422 nt
Filed under: marine sediment bacterium BB0608_AND_1.1_3G0
Lineage: Bacteria
Description: bacterial SSU rRNA
Rfam family: Bacterial small subunit ribosomal RNA
Source: RNAcentral